Molecule: long non-coding RNA, 6270 nt
Filed under: Triticum aestivum (bread wheat)
Lineage: Eukaryota; Viridiplantae; Streptophyta; Magnoliopsida; Poales; Poaceae
Description: long non-coding RNA (TAES_LNC005035)
Rfam family: MIR1120/MIR1122 microRNA precursor family (bases 726-812)
Source: RNAcentral
CUGUCCGUGGGCAAUUCAUUCUUGGCUCAUGGCAUCGGUAGUGCUUUCGCUCAUCGCCUACUUGUCCUCGAAGCUUCAUGCUAGUUUCCAGGAUCCUGUGGUGAGUGGAACACCCCCUUUGCCAUAAAAAAUAUAUUAUGUAGGUAAGUACUACUGCUUGCUACCAUCAUCCGACCGUUUCGCGGUAGCAGGUUUAAGUUUCUAUUUGAAUAAAUGUCUGAAACUUCAGACUAGUUUGAACGGUACUGGAAUUGGAGUUUGUAUGAAGUACUCCUAUCUCUUUCGUUUGGAGAAGUAUUGGAGUAUGUUAAGUAGACUUGGUGAUGUGUUGUAAUAGUUGGCUUGAAGGUUCUGUGUGUAGACUUGGUUUGUUUGUACUCUGUGGUGUUGACACCUGAAAUCAGUGAUGUAUUGAGACUUGGAAUGGUUUGUGAAGUUCCUUAUGCUGUGGUCUGUGGCUCAUUUGCUUCACACUUGGAACCUCAGACUGAGGCAUAUUCCAUUUGCUUCACACUUGCAGCUGCCAAUUUGCAAGAAGGCAUCGCCUUUUACUUGAUUGGAUACUCGAGGAAAGAGAAUUUGCUUUGGCUAGCUCUUUGUAAUGAGAGUAGCAAUCCUGGAGAAAAAAUUAAUCAUAGACAAUUACAGAUAUUACAAAGCACUUCAAACAAAAAUCGAAGCAUAGGUAUAGUAAGUUAGCACAAAAGUAUUUGACAAAUUGUAAUAUACUCCCUCUGUAAACUAAUAUAAGAGCGUUUAGAUCACUAAAAUAGUAAUCUAAACGCUCUUAUAUUAGUUUACGGAGGGAGUAUCAAAGAAGCAUUAUACCUCCAAUAUAUGAUGUCCAUUAAUAAAAUAAUUACAUUCCUUUUCUGAAAACUAAACAUAUCUCCAUAUGCAUCAUUGACUUACUAUCAUUAUAUUAGUAUGCCAACAACAAACAUCAAAACAUAUAUCCAAAAUAACUUGUUUAUAUCCCACCCAAAAAGGAGCUUUGUAAUAGCCUUUCAUCACCAAAUAAUAAAAAUUAACAUGACAAGACAAUAAAAAAAACCUUAAAGUUCAAUAAUUGCAAUCAAACACAUUGAAAUAUGUAUUCCUUAUUUCGUCCAGAGGAGAUCUAGUGGGUUUACGCAGGUUCAACCCUGAAAUUGAUAACAACACUACGUCCUACUAUAUUGUAUUUGAUUAGUCUGUAGUCCUGCUAAAUUUUACUGACUAGUCUGCGGUACGAUGACAUUUCUCAUGAGAUGGGAUAGGGCAGCUUCCCUAUUUAUAUAUUGGGUGUAGUAGUAUGGUAGCUAUAUUUUAGGAAUCUGUUACAUACGAGAUAUCCCUGGACACAUGGAAAGUGGAUCACCAUGUAACCAUAAGACUCCUAAUGUUACGCUCCCAACCUUAUAUCCUCUUGGGUUCCCAGUCGGGUGCUCGGAGCACAAGACCCCAGAGCCCCGGGGACUCGUUAAAAAGGAAAGGGUCAAGAGUGUCCGUAUGGUGUUCCCAGAUGAGUAGAAACAUGCGGAAUGAGGGUAUCCCAUCAUGGGAUGUCCAGGACAUCUCCGUCAAUCUGUUGUAAUGGGUCGGGUGCAAACGUUAUCUGAGUAGUGGUGGUCGAUCGAAGUCAUGCUUGUAGACCCCCCGACACUGAACGCACAACGACAUCAGCCCGAGUGUGAGCACAUGCCCCAUUGGGGGAUUUCAACCGUUGUCUGCCCGGAUGUUGGUGGGUGCAUGAUGGAGCAGCUAUGGUGUCCUUUUUGGCACUCACGUCUCCGCACCUAGCCGCCAAAAGCCACCCACUGCACAUUGGAGUGUGCAUCAAGCAACAACCGCGAGUGAAGCAACCAGACGAUACAAUCCGCCUUCCAGAAGCGUACACGUAGCAGGUGAACGUGACACCUAUCGUGUGAUAGGAAGUGACCAUCAGCAUGGCUCUCCACGCCGCAUCUACACCAACCGGCUACUCAGCAACACACCCUCAUCUUGCGUCCGCCGACCAAAACCAACGCACCAAACCACCAUAUCAACCACAACACCUCUAAACGCCCGAACCAAGUUCGUGUGCUCCAAUGUGACGCCCGGAUAAUUAAACUACAAUAAUCCUUUGCUAAUGAUGCCACGUCACCACGAUUACUGUUGUUAAACUCGCAUAGGUUCAAAACCGGUCCAAAUUCAAAUUUAAAAUAAAGUCGAAAAAUCAAAUUUUCAAAUGUCAAAACUAAAAUGUUCUAGGUGUGGCAAAUAAUCUUUGAUUAUUUGUCAUGUCGGAACCUAUAAUUUAUAAUGUGCUUUAAUGCCCUAAAAAAAUAAAACAUGGCUAAAAUAAUUAUUAAAUGCUUUUUAAUUAAUGCACAAACACAAACUAUUUAGUUAAUGUGUCAAGUUAUUUAAGGCAGUGGAGUUAUUUAAUAACGCUAAUUUAGGUGCUUCUUUGGUAUUAUAUAAAACUAAAACAAUAUAAAAGAAGCUAGAAAACAGGGAAUGUAAAAGAAGAAAGAAACAACACCCCCCGGGCUUUGGCCCACCAAGCCGGCCCACCUACCUCACACGAACUGGCCCAGUUCCCCCUCCUGCGCCGUCUUCACUGUGCGGGCGACCGAGCGCCCGCGUCAGGUUGCCACCACGCCGCCUCGCCGGUGUCGACAGGGGGAUAAGGCCGCGACGCCUCGGCUUUCCCCUGCCAUCUCUGUGAUACGUCUCCAACAUAUCUAUAAUUUUUUAUUGUUCCAUGCUAUUAUAUUAUCUGUUUUGGAUGUUUAAUGAGCUUUAUUAUGCACUUUUAUAUUAUUUUUGGGACUAACCUAUUAACCAAAGGCCCAGUGCAAAUUGUUGUUUUUUUGCCUAUUUCAGUGUUUCGCAGAAAAAGAAUAUCAAACGGAAUCCAAACGGAAUGAAACCUUCGCAAGGAUCUUUUUUGGAGCAAACGCAAUUCAGGAGACUUGGAGUGGAGGUCAAGAAAGCAACAUGGCGGCCAUGGGGUAGGGCGGCGCGCCCCACCCUCGUGGGCCCCUCGUAGCUCCACCGACCUACUUUUUUCGCCUAUAUAUACUCUUAUACCCUGAAAACACCCAGGGGAUCCACGAAACCACUUUUCCACCGCCGCAACCUUCUGUACUCGUGAGAUCCCAUCUAGGGACCUUUUCCGGCGAUCCGCCGGAGGGGGAUUCGAUCACGGAGGGCUUCUACAUCAACAUCAUAGCCUCCCCGAUGAUGUGUGAGUAGUUUACCACACACCUUCGUGUCCAUAGUUAUUAGCUAGAUCGCUUCUUCUCUCUCUUUUGUUCUCAAUACAAAGUUCUCCUCGAUAUUCUUGGAGAUCUAUUCGAUGUAAUACUUUUUGCGGUGUGUUUGCUGAGAUCCGAUGAAUUGUGGGUUUAUGAUCAAGUUUAUCUAUGAACAAUAUUUGAUUCUUCUCUGAAUUCUUAUAUGCAUGAUUUGAUAUCUUUGCAAGUUUCUUCGAAUUAUCAGUUUGGUUUAGCCUACUAGAUUGAUCUUUCUUGCAAUGGGAGAAGUGCUUAGCUUUGGGUUCAAUCUUGCGGUGCUUGAUCCCAGUGACAGAAAGGGAACCGACACAUAUUGUAUUGUUGCCAUCGAGGAUAACAAGAUGUGGUUUAUAUCAUAUUGCUUGAGUUUAUCCCUCUACAUCAUGUCAUCUUGCCUAAUGCGUUACUCUGUUCUUAUAAACUUAAUACUCUAGAUGCAUGCUAGAUAGAGGUCAAUGCGUGAAGUAAUAGUAGUAGAUGCAGAAUUGUUUCGGUCUACUUGACACGGACAUGAUGCCUAUAUUCAUGAUCAUUGCCUUAGAUAUCAUCAUAACUAUGCGCUUUUCUAUCAAUUGCUCGGCAGUAAUUUGUUCACCCACCGUAAUACAUGCUAUCAUGAGAGAAUCCACUAGUGAAACCUAUGGCCCUCGGGUCUACUUUACAUCAUAUAAGUUUCUGAUCUAUAAUUCUAGUUUACUAUUUAUUUUGCAAUCUUUAUUUUCCAAUUUAUACAACAAAAAUAUCAAAAAUAUUUAUCUUAUUAUCUUUAUUAGAUCUCACUUUUGCAAGUGGCCAUGAAGGGAUUGACAACCCCUUUACCGCGUUGGUUGCAAGGUUCUUGAUUGUUUGUGCAGGUACUAGGCGACUUGCGUGUAGUCUCCUACUGGAUUGAUACCUUGGUUAUCAAAAACUGAGGGAAAUACUUAUGCUACUUUGCUGCAUCACCCUUUUCUCUUCAAGGGAAAACCAACGCAUGCUCAAGAGGUAGCACUCUCCCACUCUCCCACUUUCCUCGCUCGCCUCUCCCUCUCCGCCUCCCCUCCUCAGAUCUCCCUCCUUCCCGAGCGCAUCUGACGCCACACCGUCGUCGACCGCGAGGCCAAGGACUUCACCGCGCCACCAAGUGAUUUCCAGGAGGACCCCCGUCGCCGUCUGCGUCGACCAGGAGCACCAGAUUGUAGCGACGAGACCUCAAACAGUCUGAUCUCUGUGCAUUAGUGUCAUCCCUGGAUCGGUAAUGCUGACACGCACAAUACUUAAGGAUUUAUAACAGAGUAGCAAUCACACACUUAUUACAUCAAAUGUCUCAAAAGAGAACUUAUUACAAUAAAUAUGGCUUAAGGCCAUCUAAUACGAUAACAACGGAAGGCUUGGAAGAUAAAGUGACUCCAUCAACUCCAAUGGCAUCACUGAGUGAAAGACCACGACCUAAGGCUCCUUACUCGUCGUCUGAAAAGUCUGCAACAUAAUACGUUGCAGCCCAAAACGGGCCAGCACAUGGAAUAUGCUGGCAGUGUACCACAAGAGAGUAAUGAAUAGAAAAAUGCUAUCACUACAUGCAUAUAUGGCUGGUGGAAAAGCUCUAUGGUUAUAAUGUUUUUGCGAAAAGCCAAUUUUUCCCUACUGCAAAGGAAUAUAUUUUAUUUAACUACAAAGUUGGUUGAAAAACAUUAAGAAGGUAAACCCCCUCUCAAUCCCAAUUAACAGUAAUUAAUAACCCAACAAAAUUAAUUUAGAGUGAUGAGAUCCACACGAUAAUCCAAGAACCAGAUACUCAAGAUGUCCAUAACCGGGGAAACGGCUAACCAUGAUUAGUUUGUACACUCUGCAGAAGUUUGUGCACUUUUCCCCACAAGACUCGAUCUCCUCCGUUGGAUUUCUCGCACUACAUGAUGUUUGAGAAACGGAUGACCGAGAUAUAGUCUUUCCGAAGAGGUCCCCUUAACCGAUAGAUAGGCCGGUACACCUACAAUCCCCUACAUCUGCUAGCCCAUCAUGGAAAGGUUUCCCACAACUUACUCAACUAUGCCAGAGCCCAUAAUGGCAUGUGGCUGCACACGAAAGUUUCCAACAUGAAUAAUCUUAUGAUCCCUUGGAGCCUGGGUCGCGGUCCAUAGGAAAAUCACACGGUACCCCGGGAUUUCCAAAAAUACAGGCAAUCACUGGAUACCCCAGGUGCCUCAAUCCACCUAGAUGUGUAUUAAAGUUGGCACCUUAAGUUGAACCAUUAAUUAACAAUCUCACAUCUGUCAUGAAUACACUCAAACCCAAUCCACGUCUACGAGCAUAGCAUAGCAGUAUAAGCAACAUAGAAGUAACUCCCAGGGUUUGAUAAUAAACAGGUGAAUAGGUACUACCUCUUCUACUUCCCAACCCACAAUUUAAUCAGAUCCUAACCAUGCAAUUGUUUGAGGAUUUAUCUAAUGCAAUAAAACUGGGUAGUAAAUAGGUAUGAUCAAAGUGUUACUUGCCUUGCUGAUGAUCCGUGAAACCUCGAGACUCGAUGUAGCACGCUUCACACUCCGGGUACUCUAUCGCAAUCAAACAAGCAUACAAUAAGCAAUCAAGCAAGGGCACGGGUAAAACUCAAAUAAGAGAUCUAACUAGAAAGUUCAACUUAAGAACUCCGGUUUGCAAAAAGAAUCAAAUCAAACGAAGCAACAAAACUCAAACAGCGAAAAAACAAGCUUCAUUUACUAAUCUGGGCUAAAGUCAAAUUUUACAAUAGCAAAAACUUGUUUAAGUUGGUUAAACAGAAAGAGGGUUUCGAGACGAAACUCUAGGCGCUUGAAUCGCCUGAUUCCGAUAAACGAGCGAAAAGUUAUACUAAAACGAAAAUCGGAUCAGAAAUUACGAUCGAAAAUAAUCGCGGAAAAUCCGAGAAAAAGAAAAACUGACGAACAAGCUAACAAACGAACGUUCUCUGUCUGCGGCUAACGGAUGAAAACCGUUCGUUAAAACGAACGUACGAACGAACGUCCGCUAUUUAACUAAACCAAAAAACCAA